CUUGCCUUGUAAUACUCCUGUCUUGUUCAUAGAUAUGUAAUACUGACUUUUUACCCCUUUGAUAGCGAGGAUACCUCCUUCGGAGACUGUGCGUAUUUCCAGGAUACCUGCAAUGCCAUCAAAGCAAGAGUCCUAGGACAUUGCAGCCGGUUCCACUGCAGGCUGAAGGAUGCGCCUUUUGGGUUGGCAGUCUCAGGAACGGAGGAUCUGCAGGAUUUAGAAAAUGACAGAAGAGCAGGUUUGGAUGACUUGUUCAGACCCAAGAAAUCUCCCCUGCAGGUGCUACAAGUUUAACAGAUCGAUCCGUGCAACUUUAUCCAAACGUCAGCUUGGGAAAAACGACGCACAGUGAUUUCACCAGAAGAGGGGACAAAACACGCCUCGUGGCUGUGAAUCUCUCCGAGCGGUGCCGUGGGGAUGGGCGGGGGGGGGGCUGCUCUUGCUUUCUAACAGGGCGCAUAAUUCAAACGCCUCACUACAGCCAUUCUACUGGCGGACAGCAGAUAUCAUACGAUGAAAAGGAUUGUCCGGACUCAAGUAAACAACAGCGUCUUUUGUAUACACGAUUAUGCGUCUGUAAAUCCUGAAGUAAUGCCUCAACAUCACUCAAAUAUGCAAAUUUAUAAGCCUCAAAUAAAAACACUCGGUCUCUCCGAUGAGCAAAGAUUUUUUGUUACUUAAAGCUGUACGGCGGUACAAGUGCAAAAAAGGAAAUCCCAGCUUUUUGGUAAUUACUUGUGACGAAGUGCAGUCCGCGUGUCGGCCCGGCUCCGGUAGGAAGGGGUGCUGCAGCUCCCCGCUGGCCGGAGACCUUAAAGCGAUCGAGCUGCUCCCCGGUAACCUCUAAUAAAGGGUAAAGUGGGGAACGGUGUGACACCCCCGCCUCCGCUUUUUAUGACUCCCUACUUCACAGGAAACGAUGGAUUGACGGUCGUAAAAAGACGUCCCUUCACAAGUGCCCGACCCAACGUCAGAUGCUCGUUUCGCCGGAGCGACACUUCCAUGCUUUACGCACCUUUACUUUGGCGAGACGUAUCAAGUUUGUAAAGUCAGUCCAAACCACCUGAUGAAAUAUUUCUUAGAGACGUUCUUAACGAAAGCCAGAGAAGUACAUGAGCCAGUUGCUUAAGUAUCGGCGUCAAGACCGUGGCAACAUCUGACCGACGGAAUUAGUUGUUUUUAUCGCGGACAUAAUAUUUGAAAACAAAGUUUUUUUUUCUUUUCUUUUUUAUAAUAAAAUUUACGAACACAGUUGAGUCUGCCACGAAUAUCAAAGCAGUUCAUUUUGUCUAAAUAACUGAUUCAAUAGAUAAUUUGUCAAAAGAAGUAAAAUGAAGAUUAUGGUCCACACCUCCAUGGAAAUAGGAUGACAAUUUAUCAGAGCAAGAGACAAGCUUUUAAAUAACCUUUUUGGGAUAGUUUGAAAACCAAAUCAUUAUGGUAUCUAAAUGUUUGCGUGAUUUCAUAGUCUCAUCAUCUGUUUUGUUCUUUUUGUUUACAAAUAUAAGUAUGACUCAUAUAAUGUAAUUGCUUUCACCAUUUCUCUGUUUUUCAUGGAAUUUCUUAAAAGUGUCUGGCAUGAUGGAUCAUUCCCACUCAGUGGACGAGGCCGUCAGGAUGAAUUAAUAUAUGGACCUGCGUAUCCUCCAAAGGCCUGCUCUUACCCAGCCCAGCAGUCACAGUCGUUGAUGUUUGGUAAUAGUAGGGAAGAGGCCAGCUGGAGCUGUUUUGGCAAUAGACUGGGUGGAUGUGCAUCAGGUCUGACGUCUGGGCCCAGACAGGUACCCCAGUGGUACGAAGUUUCUAAAGGGCUGCCGGUGCAGACUGGGGCAGAUGGGAAACAAGGCUGGCAAGUGACACACUGGGGUUGUCACCUCAGUCCGGAAAAAUUUCUGGACACUCAGUCAUUGACCAAAAUUUUUGCACAUAGUGAAACCAUUCCAAAGGUUGUUUAGGUCUGCUUGAUAGCAGAAUUGAUAGGGGUAUUCCCUGUCACAGAAUGAAAUCCUUUCUUCAAGGACAGAUGACCAGGAUCCGAGGUGAUCCUGGGAAAUCCUGGGUGGGUGGCAACCCUAUGACAGGUAAUAAGCAGAUGAGCUUAGGGACUUUCCUCUGGUGAGUGGCUACUUCCAGGUUUUGAAUUGCAUGAAUUUUUAAUCCAAUAAUUUAAUCUAUCCAUGAACUACCUAUGUGAGGGGUCUCAAAGGGAAGGAAGGAUUGACUUUUCCUUGUUCCUUGUGAAACUGCCGUGAAGAUGCAGAAUUUUGAGGCUUCCCUUGAGGAGAUGACAAGCAUUUUAUCUGGCGGAUUUUAAUGAUACGGUAGUGAUGUGUGGCCCCACAAUGUUCAGGAUGUUUAACCGAAUCUCAGCAGUGAUUGAAAGGUCCUGUGAUGUGGGCUUCUUCAUAAUGUCUGGUGAUGUGUAUCUGGCUGCAGAGACCCCAAAGCACACCUGACCAGCAAAUAUCCGUAACGGGAAAUUUAUAUACUGCUAGAGUAUAUAAGUAAGAUGAAAUGCCA
Paramormyrops kingsleyae is the source of this 2520-nucleotide long non-coding RNA. RefSeq lists it as uncharacterized. The record is from RefSeq and is a predicted model, not a curated record. Lineage: Eukaryota; Metazoa; Chordata; Actinopteri; Osteoglossiformes; Mormyridae.